GACGAACGCUGGCGGCGUGCCUAAUACAUGCAAGUUGAGCGCUGAAGGUUGGUACUUGUACCAACUGGAUGAGCAGCGAACGGGUGAGUAACGCGUGGGGAAUCUGCCUUUGAGCGGGGGACAACAUUUGGAAACGAAUGCUAAUACCGCAUAAAAACUUUAAACACAAGUUUUAAGUUUGAAAGAUGCAAUUGCAUCACUCAAAGAUGAUCCCGCGUUGUAUUAGCUAGUUGGUGAGGUAAAGGCUCACCAAGGCGAUGAUACAUAGCCGACCUGAGAGGGUGAUCGGCCACAUUGGUACUGAGACACGGCCCAAACUCCUACGGGAGGCAGCAGUAGGGAAUCUUCGGCAAUGGACGAAAGUCUGACCGAGCAACGCCGCGUGAGUGAAGAAGGUUUUCGGAUCGUAAAACUCUGUUGGUAGAGAAGAACGUUGGUGAGAGUGGAAAGCUCAUCAAGUGACGGUAACUACCCAGAAAGGGACGGCUAACUACGU
This 496-nucleotide ribosomal RNA is filed under the name uncultured bacterium. Its description in RNAcentral is "partial 16S ribosomal RNA". It matches the Rfam family "Bacterial small subunit ribosomal RNA", at positions 28 to 506 of the family's 1533-position model. The record is from RNAcentral.